RNAcentral lists this ribosomal RNA (230 nucleotides) under uncultured bacterium. Its description in RNAcentral is "partial 16S ribosomal RNA". It matches the Rfam family "Bacterial small subunit ribosomal RNA", at positions 118 to 350 of the family's 1533-position model. The record is from RNAcentral.
UGGGCAACCUGCCCCUCUCUCUGGGAUAACCCCGGGAAACCGGGGCUAAUACCGAAUACGACCUCCACGGGCAUCUGUGGAGGUGGAAAGGGUUUCCGGCUGAGGAUGGGCCCCGGCCUAUCAGCUUGUUGGUGGGGUCAUGGCUCACCAAGGCGACGACGGGUAGCCGGCCUGAGAGGGCGACCGGCCACACUGGGACUGAGACACGGCCCGGACUCCUACGGGAGGCA